CGCGCUCUUGUUGACACAUUGCGAAAGAGACCCUUUAUGAGUCGUAGGAGGCGGCGGUUUUCUGUUGGCAGCCCCCUCGAAUCACUCCGCAAUUGUGUGUUUGUAGCGCGCCAAACGGCUCUUUUUAAACACAGAUA
Non-coding RNA from Caenorhabditis elegans, 137 nucleotides. The record is from Ensembl. NCBI's taxonomy places the organism in Eukaryota, Metazoa, Nematoda, Chromadorea, Rhabditida, Rhabditidae.